UACGUAGGGUGCAAGCGUUGUCCGGAAUUAUUGGGCGUAAAGAGCUCGUAGGCGGUUUGUCGCGUCUGCUGUGAAAACUCGGGGCUUAACCCCGGGCCUGCAGUGGGUACGGGCAGACUAGAGUGCGGUAGGGGAGACUGGAAUUCCUGGUGUAGCGGUGAAAUGCGCAGAUAUCAGGAGGAACACCGGUGGCGAAGGCGGCGACCUGGUCCGACACUGACGCUGAGGCGCGAAAGCGUGGGGAGCAAACAGG
This 253-nucleotide ribosomal RNA is filed under the name uncultured bacterium. RNAcentral's name for it is "partial 16S ribosomal RNA". It matches the Rfam family "Bacterial small subunit ribosomal RNA", at positions 524 to 776 of the family's 1533-position model. The record is from RNAcentral.